Non-coding RNA from Oryzias melastigma (Indian medaka), 372 nucleotides. The record is from the annotation of a RefSeq genome assembly. Lineage: Eukaryota; Metazoa; Chordata; Actinopteri; Beloniformes; Adrianichthyidae.
CUCGCCCGCAGCACAAUGAUGAUGUCACUGACUCUGCUGCUCUUCACCCUGGAGCUCCUCGUUCAGGCUUCAUCAGAAAAGCUCCUGACUCAGACUCCUGGAGCUCAGUCUGUAGUUCAAGGACAGACUGUCUCCAUCACAUGUAAAUCCAGUUCAAGUGUUGGCAGCUGUCUUAACUGGUAUCUUCAGAAAAAUGGAGAAUCUCCGAAACUCUUGAUUUAUUCAGCUUCAAACCGUCAGUCUGGAGUUUCGAGUCAUUUCAGUGGAAGUGGAUCUGGAACUGACUACACUCUGACAGUCAGUGGAAUUGAACCUGAACAUGCAGGAGUUUAUUACUGUCAGCAGUGUAGCAGCUUCCCGUUCACACAGUGA